RNAcentral lists this long non-coding RNA (433 nucleotides) under Crocodylus porosus (Australian saltwater crocodile). RNAcentral describes it as "lncRNA (ENSCPRG00005005509.1)". Lineage: Eukaryota; Metazoa; Chordata; Crocodylia; Crocodylidae. The record is from RNAcentral.
UAGAAAUAAAGACAGACCCUUACUCUACAAGUGACUUCCUAUAAAGAGGUGGAGGUUUGAUGGAGGAAUGAGAUAGAAAUGAGCUUCAAGCAAAUUCAACCAAGCCUUGUGCAGAGCUGAGAUGUGUUGUCCCCUCACCCCCACUCCAACUUUCAAAUCCUAUGUCAGUGACUUAACCCAAGAGCUGGACUUCCUCUCCUGUAAAACUAUUCUAAACUCGGGGACUAUACAGAAAGAGCAGCAAGGAAAAAUAAACUCUGUUGAAAAUAUUUUGAUAUAUAUCACACUGACGUCUCAAGCAAAAUUGACCCCUUCCCUGAACUCACAUGCUGAAAAAUCAGCAAGCUUAAAAGGAACAAAGUAUGGAUGUAAGAACUCUUCUGCAAGAGCUGCUGUGACUAUGCAUAGGAGCUCCAAACCCAGAGACCCUUAA